GACUGGGAUAACUCUGGGAAACUGGGGAUAAUACCGGAUAUUAGGUGGUGCCUGCAAUGGUUUACCUUUGAAAUGUUUUUUGUAUUCGCCUAAGGAUAGAUCUGCGGCUGAUUAGGUCGUUGGUGGGGUAAUGGCCCACCAAGCCGAUGAUCGGUACGGGUUGUGAGAGCAAGGGCCCGGAGAUGGAACCUGAGACAAGGUUCCAGACCCUACGGGGUGCAGCAGGCGCGAAACCUCCGCAAUGUACGUAAGUGCGACGGGGGGAUCCCAAGUGUUAUGCUUAAUAGUAUAACUUUUCAUUAGUGUAAAAAGCUUUUAGAAUAAGAGCUGGGCAAGACCGGUGCCAGCCGCCGCGGUAAUACCGGCAGCUCGAGUGGUAGCUGUUUUUAUUGGGCCUAAAGCGUUCGUAGCCGGUUUGAUAAGUCUUUGGUGAAAGCUUGUAGCUUAACUAUAAGAAUUGCUGGAGAUACUAUCAGACUUGAAGUCGGGAGAGGUUAGAGGUACUACCGGGGUAGGGGUGAAAUCCUAUAAUCCUGGGAGGACCACCUGUGGCGAAGGCGUCUAACUAGAACGAUCUUGACGGUGAGUAACGAAAGCCAGGGGCGCGAACCGGAUUAGAUACCCGGGUAGUCCUGGCCGUAAACGAUGUGGACUUGGUGUUGGAAUGGCUUUGAGUUGUUCCAGUGCCGAAGGGAAGCUGUUAAGUCCACCGCCUGGGAAGUACGGUCGCAAGACUGAAACUUAA
RNAcentral lists this ribosomal RNA (745 nucleotides) under uncultured archaeon. RNAcentral describes it as "bacterial SSU rRNA". It matches the Rfam family "Archaeal small subunit ribosomal RNA", at positions 119 to 859 of the family's 1478-position model. The record is from RNAcentral.